GGGAGACAAAACAAUGAUUUUGAUGUCUGAGUAAUUUAUUCUUAGGCCGAAAUCCUGUCACCUUAGGUCGAUCGGUACCUCAACAUUUUUUCAAAGAUUGAUGAGUAAUCAUCGAGAGAUUGAAAGAGAUGUUCAGUUCCUAAACUUUGUCUAGGUCACACCCCGCAAGGGAAGAGUCCCCUGGGCCAUUAGCUCAGGUGGUUAGAGCGCACCCCUGAUAAGGGUGAGGUCCCUGGUUCAAGUCCAGGAUGGCCCAUUCGGUGUUGGGGGUUUAGCUCAGUUGGUAGAGCGCCUGCUUUGCAAGCAGGAUGUCAGGAGUUCGAGUCUCCUAACCUCCACUGACCGAACUCAAUCUCCAUUGUCCGGUAACUCGGAGGAUGAACUCGAGUGAGUGUGAUUUAGAUGUGUCCACUAGAUUGGACCCCAGCUUCCUGUCAUUCCAAACAAGUAAAUAUUACUUGAAUGGUUGAUAAGAUGCUGGGCUCAGAUUAAUCGAAAGAUUAAUUUGAUGUCUAGUAGAACCUUGACAACUGCAUAGGUAAGUCUGGAAAAACAAAGCAUCUUACAGAUGCAUUGUUUUAAGCCUGAAUUCUCGAAAGGGAAUUUAGAAUUAGAACAAUGAAAAUUCUUUUGAGCAAGAGCCGA
Molecule: transfer RNA, 645 nt
Filed under: uncultured Synechococcus sp.
Lineage: Bacteria; Bacillati; Cyanobacteriota; Cyanophyceae; Synechococcales; Synechococcaceae
Description: partial may contain 16S ribosomal RNA, 16S-23S ribosomal RNA intergenic spacer, and 23S ribosomal RNA
Rfam family: tRNA (bases 266-338)
Source: RNAcentral